CGCGGCCUAUCAGCUUGUUGGUGGGGUAACGGCCCACCUAGGCGACGACGGGUAGCCGGCCUGAGAGGGCGACCGGCCACACUGGGACUGAGACACGGCCCAGACUCCUACGGGAGGCAGCGGUGGGGAAUAUUGCACAAUGGGCGAAAGCCUGAUGCAGCGACGCCGCGUGAGGGAUGACGGCCUUCGGGUUGUAAGCCUCUUUCAGCAGGGAAGAAGCGAAAGUGACGGUACCUGCAGAAGAAGCGCCGGCUAACUACGUGCCAGCAGCCGCGGUAAUACGUAGGGCGCAAGCGUUGUCCGGAAUUAUUGGGCGUAAAGAGCUCGUAGGCGGCUUGUCACGUCGGAUGUGAAAGCCCGAGGCUUAACCUCGGGUCUGCAUUCGAUACGGGCUAGCUAGAGUGUGGUAGGGGAGAUCGGAAUUCCUGGUGUAGCGGUGAAAUGCGCGGAUAUCAGGAGGAACACCGGUGGCGAAGGCGGAUCUCUGGGCCAUUACUGACGCUGAGGAGCGAAAGCGUGGGGAGCGACCAGGAUUAGAUACCCUGGUAGUCCACGCCGUAAACGUUGGGAACUAGGUGUUGGCGACAUUCCACGUCGUCGGUGCCGCAGCUAACGCAUUAAGUUCCCCGCCUGGGGAGUACGG
Molecule: ribosomal RNA, 643 nt
Filed under: uncultured Actinomycetes bacterium
Lineage: Bacteria; Bacillati; Actinomycetota; Actinomycetes
Description: bacterial SSU rRNA
Rfam family: Bacterial small subunit ribosomal RNA
Source: RNAcentral